This is a long non-coding RNA of Salvia splendens (bonfire salvia), 570 nucleotides long. RefSeq lists it as uncharacterized. The transcript is spliced from 2 exons. NCBI's taxonomy places the organism in Eukaryota, Viridiplantae, Streptophyta, Magnoliopsida, Lamiales, Lamiaceae. The record is from RefSeq and is a predicted model, not a curated record.
CUAUCUUUCUAUUUCUCCCACAUUCCGACCACCUCUCACAAUGGAGAAUUUGAGCGCCGAUGAGUUGGCCCGUAGGGCAAUCCAAACAAGGGAGAGAAUGCUCUUUCUGAGGGACCUUGAGCGGCCAGAGAUGGAAGAACUACGGGAUGUUGGUACAAGGCUGCGUCAAGCAGUCAGCGCUGCCUCGACACUUAACCGCAUUCACGUUGCUCACACAAAAGAUGCGGAAAACCUAAGAGUCCUCUUACGGAAUGAUCGCAAUUGGACAGGCACUGCAGUCGUGUCUGCCUCUUCCGGUAACUUGGUUCAGUUAAUCAAUCACCUACGUGAGAGGUAUGGCACCCGCCUCAACGUUGAGUGCACGGGAGAUGAAUAAAAAGAGAUUCGGAAGGAAGAAGGGGAAAUUAACAAGGAAGACAUGUCUCCCCAAUUCAACCCAUACUCUUAUCUCUAUCUCCCUUAUCGUUUCAUCUUUGAUGUUUGAUGUUUGUUUGACCUAAAUUAGAUCUUGUAGGAGUAAUAUUUUCCUAGACUACUCCCACGUAUCCAUAUCACUUCUUAUUGUUUGGA